This 509-nucleotide ribosomal RNA is filed under the name uncultured bacterium. Its description in RNAcentral is "bacterial SSU rRNA". It matches the Rfam family "Bacterial small subunit ribosomal RNA", at positions 1001 to 1509 of the family's 1533-position model. The record is from RNAcentral.
CAGAGAUGCUUUAGUGCCUUCGGGAACUCUGAGACAGGUGCUGCAUGGCUGUCGUCAGCUCGUGUUGUGAAAUAGUUGGGUUAAGUCCGCAACGAGCGCAACCCUUAUCCUUUGUUGCCAGCACGUAAUGGUGGGAACUCAAAGGAGACUGCCGGUGAUAAACCGGAGGAAGGUGGGGAUGACGUCAAGUCAUCAUGGCCCUUACGAGUAGGGCUACACACGUGCUACAAUGGCGUAUACAAAGAGAAGCGACCUCGCGAGAGCAAGCGGACCUCAUAAAGUGCGUCGUAGUCCGGAUUGGAGUCUGCAACUCGACUCCAUGAAGUCGGAAUCGCUAGUAAUCGUAAAUCAGAAUGUUACGGUGAAUACGUUCCCGGGCCUUGUACACACCGCCCGUCACACCAUGGGAGUGGGUUGCAAAAGAAGUAGAUAGCUUAACCUUCGGGAGGGCGUUUACCACUUUGUGAUUCAUGACUGGGGUGAAGUCGUAACAAGGUAGGCGUAGUGCU